CACAGUGUCCAUAUGAUAAAAAAGGUCUGCAAAUGACAGUGUUGCUGUGGACUGUUGUGGGCAGCCUCUUCUUCGUGUGGGCAUCGAAUACAAUGGCGGAAGCGCGACGGAUGACGACACCGGCGUCUCGACUACCAAGAGAGCGCAAGGCCGCGGAAGUCACUCGGAAACCAUGCCAGACUCACUUACAAUGGUGCUUUAGUUACAAGGACUGCUGUGAGGAGAACCCAUGCUACGGGUUCCGGUGCUCCGACCUAAAAAGCUGGGGUAACCAACUAGGCCCACUCACAACGGCGAUCCCGCCGCGCCAUGAAUAAUUGGGCCUACCUUCCCAACUCACCGGAAAUGGCUUACAAUCUUGCCGAUGCCACGCACCACCGCUCUUUCUUCAUGACCGAUGGUUUUAUGGUACAGUGCGUACGUCUGAAUAAAAUAAU
Molecule: long non-coding RNA, 437 nt
Organism: Dermacentor silvarum
Lineage: Eukaryota; Metazoa; Arthropoda; Arachnida; Ixodida; Ixodidae
Exons: 3
Source: RefSeq, a predicted model, not a curated record